GGCCAGCAGCCGCGGUAAAACGUAGGACGCAAGCGUUAUCCGGAAUUACUGGGCGUAAAGCGCGUGUAGGCGGUGCUAUAAGUGACUGUUGAAAGCUCCCGGCUAAACUGGGAGAGGUGCGGUCAGACUGUAGGACUGGAGUAAGGAAGAGGGGUGUAGAAUUCCGGGUGUAGUGGUGAAAUGCGUAGAGAUCCGGAGGAAUACCAGAGGCGAAGGCGACACCCUGGUCCAUUACUGACGCUGAGACGCGAAAGCAUGGGGAGCGAACGGGAUUAGAGACCCCGGUAGUCCAUGCCGUAAACGAUGCAAACUAGAUGUGCGUUUCCUUACGGGGAAGUGUGCGUCGCAGCCAACGCGAUAAGUUUGCCGCCUGGGGAGUACGGUCGCAAGGCUAAAACUCAAAGGAAUUGACGGGGGCCCGCACA
This 425-nucleotide ribosomal RNA is filed under the name uncultured bacterium. RNAcentral describes it as "bacterial SSU rRNA". It matches the Rfam family "Bacterial small subunit ribosomal RNA", at positions 506 to 927 of the family's 1533-position model. The record is from RNAcentral.